CUUUACACCUGGCCCCGCCCCUUUCAGUCACUUCCUGAUUCAGCUCCUUAUCCUUUACACCUGGCCCCGCCCCUUUCAGUCACUUCCUGAUUCAACGCCUUAUUCUUUACACCUGGCCACGCCCCUUUCAGCCACUUCCUGAUUCAGCUCCUUAUCCUUUACACCUGGCCCCGCUCCCAAUCGCCUUGAUAAGACCCCCAUCACCACCCACUCUCUCAGAAAGCAACGUUUCUCUGACCUUCAAGAACACGAGCCCGUGGGGAGCAUUUCACCUCAAACACUGUGUUGCGGGGUCACUCUGUGGGCAAGAAGCUCCUUCUCUGUUGUGUCACUUUGGUGUUAUCUAUACUUUGGUCUGUCCUGGGAGCCCUAUCUAAAAUAGACAUGUGUCUUGAGUCUCCCCAAGAAAAGUUUUUCACACAACACAAUUGGCAACCGAAGAUGAAUUUGGGGAGCUUCAAACUCCAUUUAAUCCUAGGAAGAAACUGAAUUCAAGGUCUGAGGCCCUAGGGGAGCUGAGGACUUCCCAGUAGCUGAGCGGCUUCUGUUGUAAACAGCCAUCUGAGUCCAGUCAUCUCAAGGACAACCUCUGUUUUGCUGGCGUGGUGAAACAAGUUCAUGUUCCCAGGGCCUAGGAAUGAACUCCUAUCUUGCUCCUCCAAACACUUCCUUAAUUGUCUGUUAACGGCCAAGCCGCAACAAUGACUCUCAAAGAACAGCUGCAAAGAAGACGCAGGCCAGACGACCAGCUGCCUAGAAGAAACAGAAACCAGCUGAGCUGCCUGGAAGAGGUUUAGACCAACCAAGACACCUGGAAAGGACAGUCUACAACCUGUCGAGCUGCCUGCAGGCUGUGCAGUGUGCUCCAGGUUCCCAGCUCUGUGAGAUGAUCCAGGCCAGGGUGGGCUUUGGUGAGGCAGCUGUCUUUGAGUCGUUUCUGCUCUAAGUAACCUCUCACCUACAUUCCUAUAAGUACCCCCAAUAAAGGUCUUCGGUUCACCAAA
Molecule: long non-coding RNA, 1004 nt
Organism: Rattus norvegicus (Norway rat)
Lineage: Eukaryota; Metazoa; Chordata; Mammalia; Rodentia; Muridae
Source: RefSeq, a predicted model, not a curated record